GCGUUUAUCCGCGUGACUUUAAUUCGAACCGGAAAUAAGGCACGCGGUGAAUGCCA
RNAcentral lists this microRNA precursor (56 nucleotides) under Mesocestoides corti. Its description in RNAcentral is "microRNA mco-mir-124a precursor". Its record names the gene mco-mir-124a. Lineage: Eukaryota; Metazoa; Platyhelminthes; Cestoda; Cyclophyllidea; Mesocestoididae. The record is from miRBase by way of RNAcentral.